AAAAACUUAGGAUAAACAAACCAAGAGCCUUCAAAGCCCUAAAUAGAAGUCAAACCCUUCUAGUUUUUG
RNAcentral lists this transfer RNA (69 nucleotides) under Uraeotyphlus gansi (Gansi caecilian). RNAcentral describes it as "tRNA-Trp". It matches the Rfam family "tRNA". From Rfam's summary of the family: Transfer RNA (tRNA) molecules are approximately 80 nucleotides in length. Their secondary structure includes four short double-helical elements and three loops (D, anti-codon, and T loops). The record is from RNAcentral. Lineage: Eukaryota; Metazoa; Chordata; Amphibia; Gymnophiona; Ichthyophiidae.